GAGUUUGAUCAUGGCUCAGAACGUACGCUGACGGCACGCCUAACACGUGCAAGUCGAACGAAGUAGCAAUACUUAGUGGCAGACGGGUGAGUAACAUGUAGGUAUCUGCCCUUUGGCCUGGAAUAACACGAGGAAACUUGUGCUAAUACCGGAUAAGUCUUUACGGAGAAAGCUUUAUGCACCAUUGGAUGAGCCUGCACUUGAUUAGUUUGUUGGUGGGGUAAUGGCCUACCAAGACUUUGAUCAAUAGCUGAUUUGAGAGGAUGAUCAGCCACAUUGGGACUGAGACACGGCCCAAACUCCUACGGGAGGCAGCAGUGGGGAAUCUUGCACAAUGGAGGAAACUCUGAUGCAGCGAUGCCGCGUGAGUGAAGAAGGCCCUUGGGUUGUAAAGCUCUUUCGUCGGGGAAGAAAAUGACUGUACCCGAAUAAGAAGGUCCGGCUAACUUCGUGCCAGCAGCCGCGGUAAUACGAAGGGACCUAGCGUAGUUCGGAAUUACUGGGCUUAAAGAGUUCGUAGGUGGUUGAAAAAGUUGGUGGUGAAAUCCCAGAGCUUAACUCUGGAACUGCCAUCAAAACUUUUCAGCUAGAGUUUGAUAGAGGAAAGCAGAAUUUCUAGUGUAGAGGUGAAAUUCGUAGAUAUUAGAAAGAAUACCAAUUGCGAAGGCAGCUUUCUGGAUCGUUACUGACACUGAGGAACGAAAGCAUGGGUAGCGAAGAGGAUUAGAUACCCUCGUAGUCCAUGCCGUAAACGAUGUGUGUUAGACGUUGGAAAUUUAUUUUCAGUGUCGCAGCGAAAGCAAUAAACACACCGCCUGGGGAGUACGACCGCAAGGUUAAAACUCAAAUGAAUUGACGGGGACCCGCACAAGUAGUGGAGCAUGUGGUUUAAUUCGAAGAUACGCGCAGAACCUUACCAACACUUGACAUGUUCGUCGCGACUUUAAGAGAUUAAAGUUUUCGGUUCGGCCGGACGAAACACAGGUGCUGCAUGGCUGUCGUCAGCUCGUGUCGUGAGAUGUUGGGUUAAGUCCCGCAACGAGCGCAACCCUCACUUUUAGUUGCCAUCAUUAAGUUGGGCACUCUGAAAGAACUGCCAGUGAUAAGCUGGAGGAAGGUGGGGAUGACGUCAAGUCCUCAUGGCCCUUACGUGUUGGGCUACACACGUGCUACAAUGGUAUCUACAACAGGAAGCAAGACGGCGACGUUUAGCAAAUCCUUAAAAGAUACCUCAGUUCGGAUUGCACUCUGCAACUCGAGUGCAUGAAGCUGGAAUUACUAGUAAUCGUGGAUCAGCGUGCCACGGUGAAUGCGUUCCCGGGUCUUGUACACACCGCCCGUCACACCAUGGGAGUUGGUUCUACCUUAAGGCAAGGUUUUAAACCCUUGACCACGGUAUAGUCAGCGACUGGGGUGAAGUCGUAACAAGGUAACC
This 1435-nucleotide ribosomal RNA is filed under the name uncultured marine bacterium. Its description in RNAcentral is "bacterial SSU rRNA". It matches the Rfam family "Bacterial small subunit ribosomal RNA". The record is from RNAcentral.